This 1202-nucleotide ribosomal RNA is filed under the name uncultured soil eukaryote. Its description in RNAcentral is "partial small subunit ribosomal RNA". It matches the Rfam family "Eukaryotic small subunit ribosomal RNA", at positions 934 to 1805 of the family's 1831-position model. The record is from RNAcentral.
GAUGAACUAAUGCGAAAGCAUUUAUCAAGGAUGUUUUCAUGUGAUCAAGAACGAAAGAAAAGGGAUCAAAGACGAUCAGAUACCGUUGUAAUCUUUCUAUCUGUAAACGAUGCCGACCAAAGAUGGGAAGCCCAAAAAUGGUAUUGUAAAAGAUAUCAUUUGGUUGCUAAAUUAAUUGAUUGAAUAGCAAUAUUCUUUUCAAUUUAAUGCCCUUUCCCGGAUUUUGUGAGAAAUCAUUGAGUUUUCUGGCUCUGGGGGGAGUAUGGUCGCAAGACUGAAACUUAAAGAAAUUGACGGAAUGAUACACAACGACGUGGAACCUGCGGCUUAAUUCGACCCAACACGCGAAACCUCACGAGUUUAGGACAAGCGAAGGAUUGACAGAUUGAAAGCUCUUUCUUGAUUGUUUGGAUGGUGGUGCAUGGUCGUUGUUGGUUGUUGUUUUGAAACGUCCGCUUAAUUGCUUAAAAGAACGAGACCAACGCGUUUAAAUAGGUUGUGUUCAAAAUUGUGAAUUGAGGUAAUACUCAAGAUGAUUAGUGGGCGAAGCGGUUAUAUAAAAGUUCUUUACUGAAUUUUUGUGUAACUUUCGUUCGUUAUCAUUCAAUAAAUUUUGAAACCAAGAGGGAAGUCGUUCUUGGAAAGAGGGGGCAGGGUAGCAAUAUCUUGUUUUUUUUUUUUAAGAGGGGCUUCUUUCAUUUUUCCUUUAUUAAACGAACUACUAUUUUGGAGAUUAAAAACCUCUAAAAAAAUUUGACGAUAAGUCAGUGGAAGUUGUUGGCAAUAACAGGUCUGUGAUGCCCUUAGAUAAAUUCGGCUGCACGCGCGUUACACUGUCAAUUUCAAAAAGUAGUUUGUAAGCUCGCUUUAGAGUUCACUUUUUGCGUAGCAAUAUGUAGAAAGCCUCUAUUCAACUUACAUACAUCCUGACUUGACAAGGUUGGGUAAUCUUUAGAACGAUUGACGUGAUUGGGAUUAUGAAUUGCAAUUAUUUCAUACAAACGAGGAAUUUCUAGUAAUCGUAGUUCAUCAAACUACGCUGACUAAGUCCCUGUCAUUUGUACACACCGCCCGUCGCUCCUACCGAUUGAAUGACGUGGUGAAAUUUUUGGAGAAGAGAUGGUUGGGUUAAACUGAUCAUCACUUCAAAGUUAAUUAAACCCUUUCAUUUAGAGGAAGGAGAAGUCGUAACAAGGUUUCCG